UUAGCUAUUUUAGAUAGGUUUGUAUUCAUACUUCAUGGGUACAGACGGCAAACUCGUUUUUGUAUCUAUGAUGGCUAGAGCAAUUUGUUUUGAACAAACAGCCGCGUAGACGAUAUUUCUAAGUGGCUAUGACUAUAAGAGGCAUUUAAUCUGUUCUUAUCAUCCAUUUAGGCAUAUUGUCUAAAUGGAUUUUUUGUUUCAUUGA
RNAcentral lists this non-coding RNA (205 nucleotides) under Candidatus Enterococcus clewellii. Its description in RNAcentral is "Enterococcus sp. 9E7_DIV0242 Enterococcus sRNA 2410". It matches the Rfam family "Enterococcus sRNA 2410". Rfam says of the family: Produced as 2 transcripts on Northern blot. The record is from Rfam by way of RNAcentral. Lineage: Bacteria; Bacillati; Bacillota; Bacilli; Lactobacillales; Enterococcaceae.